This 457-nucleotide long non-coding RNA is filed under the name Physcomitrium patens. Its description in RNAcentral is "long non-coding RNA (PPAT_LNC005285)". Lineage: Eukaryota; Viridiplantae; Streptophyta; Bryopsida; Funariales; Funariaceae. The record is from RNAcentral.
GAGCAGGGAUGUUGAGGAGGGUGAAAUUGAAGACCAACGAGAAAGAGUAGCGAAGAGACGACAUGACGUAGAGAGUGAUAUUGAAGAUCGGAGAGGAAAAAGAUCCGAGAAGAGGAGACAUGAUGUGGACAGUGACCUUGAAGAUCAGAGAGAAAAAAGACCCGAGAAGAGGGGACAUGAUGUGGACAGUGACCUUGAUGAUCGGAGAGAAAUAAGAUCCGAGAAGAGAAGACAUGAUGUGGACAGUGACCUUGAUGAUCGGAGAGAAAUAAGAUCCGAGAAGAGAAGACAUGAAGUGGACAAUGACCUUGAAGAUCAGAGAGAUAAAAGAUCCGAGAAGAGAAGGGACGUUGAGAACAGUGAUUUCGAAGAUCUAAGGGACAAGAGAGUCGAGAGUACAAUGUCACGGAUGGAAGACAGUGAAGAUGGUGAUGAAAGGCAUCGUAGGAAGGAUCGG